RNAcentral lists this ribosomal RNA (468 nucleotides) under uncultured bacterium. RNAcentral's name for it is "partial 16S ribosomal RNA". It matches the Rfam family "Bacterial small subunit ribosomal RNA", at positions 28 to 507 of the family's 1533-position model. The record is from RNAcentral.
GACGAACGCUGGCGGCGUGCUUAACACAUGCAAGUCGAACGGUGAAGCUCCAGCUUGCUGGAGUGGAUCAGUGGCGAACGGGUGAGUAACACGUGAGCAACCUGCCCCAGACUCUGGAAUAAGCGCUGGAAACGGCGUCUAAUACUGGAUACGAGAUCAAGCCGCAUGGUUAUGGUCUGGAAAGUUUUUCGGUUUGGGAUGGGCUCGCGGCCUAUCAGCUUGUUGGUGAGGUAAUGGCUCACCAAGGCGACGACGGGUAGCCGGCCUGAGAGGGCGACCGGCCACACUGGGACUGAGACACGGCCCAGACUCCUACGGGAGGCAGCAGUGGGGAAUAUUGCACAAUGGGCGAAAGCCUGAUGCAGCGACGCCGCGUGAGGGAUGACGGCCUUCGGGUUGUAAACCUCUUUCAGCAGGGAAGAAGCGAGAGUGACGGUACCUGCAGAAGAAGCACCGGCUAACUACGUG